AGUGAACGCUGGCGGUAGGCCUAACACAUGCAAGUCGAACGGCAGCACAGUAAGAGCUUGCUCUUACGGGUGGCGAGUGGCGGACGGGUGAGGAAUACAUCGGAAUCUACUUUUUCGUGGGGGAUAACGUAGGGAAACUUACGCUAAUACCGCAUACGACCUACGGGUGAAAGCAGGGGAUCUUCGGACCUUGCGCGAUUGAAUGAGCCGAUGUCGGAUUAGUUAGUUGGCGGGGUAAAGGCCCACCAAGGCGACGAUCCGUAGCUGGUCUGAGAGGAUGAUCAGCCACACUGGAACUGAGAAACGGUCCAGACUCCUACGGGAGGCAGCAGUGGGGAAUACUGGACAAUGGGCGAAAGCCUGAUCCAGCCAUACCGCGUGGGUGAAGAAGGCCUUCGGGUUGUAAAGCCCUUUUGUUGGGAAAGAAAAGCAGCAGGUUAAUACCCCGCUGUUCUGACGGUACCCAAAGAAUAAGCACCGGCUAACUUCGUG
RNAcentral lists this ribosomal RNA (492 nucleotides) under uncultured bacterium. RNAcentral's name for it is "partial 16S ribosomal RNA". It matches the Rfam family "Bacterial small subunit ribosomal RNA", at positions 29 to 507 of the family's 1533-position model. The record is from RNAcentral.